AUGCAGUCGAACGACACAGUGGCAGACGGGUGAGUAACGCGUGGGAACGUACCUUUCGCUACGGAAUAGCUCUGGGAAACUGGUGGUAAUACCGUAUACGCCCUUAGGGGGAAAGAUUUAUCGGCGAAAGAUCGGCCUGCGUUGGAUUAGCUAGUUGGUGAGGUAAUGGCUCACCAAGGCGACGAUCCAUAGCUGGUCUGAGAGGAUGAUCAGCCACACUGGGACUGAGACACGGCCCAGACUCCUACGGGAGGCAGCAGUGGGGAAUCUUGCACAAUGGGCGAAAGCCUGAUGCAGCCAUGCCGCGUGAAUGAUGAAGGCCUUAGGGUUGUAAAAUUCUUUCGCCAGGGAUGAUAAUGACAGUACCUGGUAAAGAAGCCCCGGCUAACUUCGUGCCAGCAGCCGCGGUAAUACGAAGGGGGCUAGCGUUGUUCGGAAUUACUGGGCGUAAAGCGCACGUAGGCGGACUUUUAAGUCAGGUGUGAAAUCCCGGGGCUCAACCUCGGAACUGCAUUUGAAACUGGAAGUCUUGAGAUCAGGAGAGGUUAGCGGAAUACCGAGUGUAGAGGUGAAAUUCGUAGAUAUUCGGUGGAACACCAGUGGCGAAGGCGGCUAACCGGACUGAUACUGACGCUGAGGUGCGAAAGUGUGGGGAGCAAACAGGAUUAGAUACCCUGGUAGUCCACACCGUAAACGAUGAGAGCUAGUUGUUGGCAGGCAUGCCUGUCGGUGACGCAGCUAACGCAUUAAGCUCUCCGCCUGGGGAGUACGGCCGCAAGG
RNAcentral lists this ribosomal RNA (780 nucleotides) under uncultured bacterium. Its description in RNAcentral is "bacterial SSU rRNA". It matches the Rfam family "Bacterial small subunit ribosomal RNA", at positions 55 to 893 of the family's 1533-position model. The record is from RNAcentral.